AGCGAACGCUGGCGGCAGGCCUAACACAUGCAAGUCGAACGAACCUUUCGGGGUUAGUGGCGGACGGGUGAGUAACACGUGGGAACGUGCCUUUAGGUUCGGAAUAACUCAGGGAAACUUGUGCUAAUACCGAAUGUGCCCUUCGGGGGAAAGAUUUAUCGCCUUUAGAGCGGCCCGCGUCUGAUUAGCUAGUUGGUUGAGGUAAUGGCUCACCAAGGCGACGAUCAGUAGCUGGUCUGAGAGGAUGAUCAGCCACAUUGGGACUGAGACACGGCCCAAAACGGGACGGGGGGCAGCAGGGGGGAGUGGCGCGCACUGGGAGCGGGGCGGGCGGAGGCAUGAGGUGUGAAGGAUGAGGGUCGUAGUUUUGAAAAUUUCUGUCAGGGGGGACGAUAAGGGCGGAAGCGGGAGAACCCGCCCAGGCUAGCGUCGUGCCAGCAGCCGCGGUAAUAAGCGGAACCGCACACGUCUGAAC
Molecule: ribosomal RNA, 475 nt
Filed under: uncultured bacterium
Lineage: Bacteria
Description: partial 16S ribosomal RNA
Rfam family: Bacterial small subunit ribosomal RNA
Source: RNAcentral